Molecule: long non-coding RNA, 473 nt
Organism: Photinus pyralis (common eastern firefly)
Lineage: Eukaryota; Metazoa; Arthropoda; Insecta; Coleoptera; Lampyridae
Exons: 2
Source: RefSeq, a predicted model, not a curated record
CGGUUCGGUUGUUUUCCGAGCAGCGUAAUCAAGCGAAAACCUUGCAGAUUUUAUUUCAAGCACACACUAUCUACUUACGAUUUAUCAUGCUUGAACACGAGCAAAAAUUCCUCCAGUGAUAAAUUAAUACACAAAAAAUGUAGAAUUGAAUUUAAGUACGACGACGACGACGACGACGAACGUUUAAUUCGAUCAAAUUUUUUCCUACAACUGAAAGAGCCAAGCAAAAAGCGGAAAUCAUUGUAAAAUCUUUUUAACACAACAAAUGAUCCGAUUGGACUAACGCAUUAAUUGAUAGGGAGAGUCUCCAUUAGGUAUAUUGUCUGAUACUAAUAAAAAUAAUUACGAUUUGAUGGCAUUGGCGUUGGUUGGCAUUCAAAUAAUUUCAGUUGUGUUGUACAGGCUAAUGAGUGAUUGUUGCUUUUAAAAUAUUAUUUUACAAACUCGUAAUAAACAAAAUGAUCGCUUUUUGA